UACGUAGGUGACAAGCGUUGUCCGGAUUUACUGGGCGUAAAGCGUGCGCAGGCGGUUCGUUGUGUCGGCGGUGAAAGCCCCGGGCUUAACCUGGGAAUGGCCGUCGAAACUGGCGAACUGGAGUGUGGCAGAGGGGGGUGGAAUUCCGCGUGUAGCAGUGAAAUGCGUAGAGAUGCGGAGGAACACCGAUGGCGAAGGCAGCCCCCUGGGCUGACACUGACGCUCAGGCACGAAAGCGUGGGGAGCAAACAGG
Molecule: ribosomal RNA, 253 nt
Filed under: uncultured bacterium
Lineage: Bacteria
Description: partial 16S ribosomal RNA
Rfam family: Bacterial small subunit ribosomal RNA
Source: RNAcentral